Bombyx mori (domestic silkworm) is the source of this 83-nucleotide non-coding RNA. Lineage: Eukaryota; Metazoa; Arthropoda; Insecta; Lepidoptera; Bombycidae. The record is from Rfam.
UUAACACAAUUUUGUAUGGAAUUGGAACGUGUGCCUACGUUUCCGCUAGGGGCGCUGUUCCGAUUGCAUACAAAUUUGAGUUA